This 466-nucleotide ribosomal RNA is filed under the name uncultured bacterium. Its description in RNAcentral is "partial 16S ribosomal RNA". It matches the Rfam family "Bacterial small subunit ribosomal RNA", at positions 28 to 505 of the family's 1533-position model. The record is from RNAcentral.
GACGAACGCUGGCGGCGUGCUUAACACAUGCAAGUCGAACGGAAAGGCCCUGCUUUUGUGGGGUGCUCGAGUGGCGAACGGGUGAGUAACACGUGAGUAACCUGCCCUUGACUUUGGGAUAACUUCAGGAAACUGGGGCUAAUACCGGAUAGGAGCUCCUGCUGCAUGGUGGGGGUUGGAAAGUUUCGGCGGUUGGGGAUGGACUCGCGGCUUAUCAGCUUGUUGGUGGGGUAGUGGCUUACCAAGGCUUUGACGGGUAGCCGGCCUGAGAGGGUGACCGGCCACAUUGGGACUGAGAUACGGCCCAGACUCCUACGGGAGGCAGCAGUGGGGAAUAUUGCACAAUGGGCGGAAGCCUGAUGCAGCAACGCCGCGUGCGGGAUGACGGCCUUCGGGUUGCAAACCGCUUUCGCCUGUGACGAAGCGUGAGUGACGGUAAUGGGUAAAGAAGCACCGGCUAACUACG